CACCUACGGGUGGCAGCAGUGGGGAAUAUUGCACAAUGGGCGCAAGCCUGAUGCAGCAACGCCGCGUGAGGGACGACGGCCUUCGGGUUGUAAACCUCUUUUAGCAGGGAAGAAGCGAAAGUGACGGUACCUGCAGAAAAAGCACCGGCUAACUACGUGCCAGCAGCCGCGGUAAUACGUAGGGUGCAAGCGUUAUCCGGAAUUAUUGGGCGUAAAGAGCUCGUAGGCGGUUUGUCGCGUCUGCUGUGAAAACCCGAGGCUCAACCUCGGGCCUGCAGUGGGUACGGGCAGACUAGAGUGCGGUAGGGGAGAUUGGAAUUCCUGGUGUAGCGGUGGAAUGCGCAGAUAUCAGGAGGAACACCGAUGGCGAAGGCAGAUCUCUGGGCCGUAACUGACGCUGAGGAGCGAAAGGGUGGGGAGCAAACAGGCUUAGAUACCCUGGUAGUCCACCCCGUAAACGUUGGGAACUAGUUGUGGGGUCCAUUCCACGGAUUCCGUGACGCAGCUAACGCAUUAA
This 517-nucleotide ribosomal RNA is filed under the name uncultured bacterium. RNAcentral describes it as "bacterial SSU rRNA". It matches the Rfam family "Bacterial small subunit ribosomal RNA", at positions 335 to 863 of the family's 1533-position model. The record is from RNAcentral.